Molecule: ribosomal RNA, 257 nt
Filed under: uncultured bacterium
Lineage: Bacteria
Description: partial 16S ribosomal RNA
Rfam family: Bacterial small subunit ribosomal RNA
Source: RNAcentral
UACGGGGGGGGGCAAGCGUUGUUCGGAAUUACUGGGGCGUAAAAGGGCUCGUAGGCGGCCAACUAAGUCAGACGUGAAAUCCCUCGGCUUAACCGGGGAACUGCGUCUGAUACUGGAUGGCUUGAGUUCGGGAGAGGGAUGCGGAAUUCCAGGUGUAGCGGUGGAAAUGCGUAGAUAUCUGGAGGAACACCGGUGGCGAAGGCGGCAUCCUGGACCGACACUGACGCUGAGGAGCGAAAGCCAGGGGAGCAAACGGG